GACGAACGCUGGCGGCGUGCCUAAUACAUGCAAGUCGAACGCUUCUUUUCCCACCGGAGCUUGCUCCACCGGGAAAAGAGGAGUGGCGAACGGGUGAGUAACACGUGGGUAACCUGCCCAUCAGAAGGGGAUAACACUUGGAAACAGGUGCUAAUACCGUAUAACAAUCGAAACCGCAUGGUUUCGUUUUGAAAGGCGCUUUACGGUGCCGCUGAUGGAUGGACCCGCGGUGCAUUAGCUAGUUGGUGAGGUAACGGCUCACCAAGGCCACGAUGAAUAGCCGACCGGAGAGGGUGAUCGGCCACAUUGGGACUGAGACACGGCCCAAACUCCUACGGGAGGCAGCAGUAGGGAAUCUUCGGCAAUGGACGAAAGUCUGACCGAGCAACGCCGCGUGAGUGAAGAAGGUUUUCGGAUCGUAAAACUCUGUUGUUAGAGAAGAACAAGGGUGAGAGUAACUGUUCACCCCUUGACGGUAUCUAACCAGAAAGCCACGGCUAACUACGCGCCAGCCGCCGCAGUAA
This 524-nucleotide ribosomal RNA is filed under the name uncultured bacterium. RNAcentral describes it as "partial 16S ribosomal RNA". It matches the Rfam family "Bacterial small subunit ribosomal RNA", at positions 28 to 523 of the family's 1533-position model. The record is from RNAcentral.